GACGAACCGUGCGAACGUUGUUCGGAAUCACUGGGCUUAAAGGGCGCGUAGGCGGGCCGGCAAGUCAGGGGUGAAAGCCCACGGCUCAACCGUGGAAGUGCCUUUGAUACUGCCGGUCUGGAGGGAAGUAGGGGCGUGCGGAACUUCCGGUGGAGCGGUGAAAUGCGUAGAUAUCGGAAGGAACACCGGUGGCGAAAGCGGCGCGCUGGACUUCUACUGACGCUGAGGCGCGAAAGCC
This 238-nucleotide ribosomal RNA is filed under the name uncultured prokaryote. RNAcentral describes it as "partial 16S ribosomal RNA". It matches the Rfam family "Bacterial small subunit ribosomal RNA", at positions 524 to 761 of the family's 1533-position model. The record is from RNAcentral.